Molecule: transfer RNA, 72 nt
Filed under: Bos taurus (domestic cattle)
Lineage: Eukaryota; Metazoa; Chordata; Mammalia; Artiodactyla; Bovidae
Also listed under: 5 other names
Rfam family: tRNA
About the family: Transfer RNA (tRNA) molecules are approximately 80 nucleotides in length. Their secondary structure includes four short double-helical elements and three loops (D, anti-codon, and T loops).
Source: Rfam by way of RNAcentral
UCUGUGGUGGUCCAGUGGUUAAGACUUCAUACUUGCAAUGAGGGGGCCCAGGUUCGAUACCUGGUCAGGGAA